RNAcentral lists this ribosomal RNA (216 nucleotides) under uncultured fungus. Its description in RNAcentral is "partial small subunit ribosomal RNA". The stretch from base 38 to 216 matches the Rfam family "Eukaryotic small subunit ribosomal RNA", at positions 684 to 864 of the family's 1831-position model. Lineage: Eukaryota; Fungi. The record is from RNAcentral.
GGAUCAAUUUACUGGUCGUGCCUAUGGUACGUACUGGUUUUGUUGGUUCCUCCCUUCUGAGGAACCACGAUGUCAUUAAUUUGGUGUCGUGGGGAAUCAGGACUGUUACUUUGAAAAAAUUAGAGUGUUUAAAGCAAGCUUUGGCUUGAAUACAUUAGCAUGGAAUAAUGGAAUAGGACGUUCGAUCUUAUUUUGUUGGUUUCUAGGAUUGACGUA